This 293-nucleotide ribosomal RNA is filed under the name uncultured bacterium. Its description in RNAcentral is "partial 16S ribosomal RNA". It matches the Rfam family "Bacterial small subunit ribosomal RNA", at positions 775 to 1067 of the family's 1533-position model. The record is from RNAcentral.
GGAUUAGAUACCCUGGUAGUCCACGCCGUAAACGAUGUCUACUUGGAGGCUGUAGUCUUGAACUGUGGCUUUCGGAGCUAACGCGUUAAGUAGACCGCCUGGGGAGUACGGUCGCAAGAUUAAAACUCAAAUGAAUUGACGGGGGCCCGCACAAGCGGUGGAGCAUGUGGUUUAAUUCGAUGCAACGCGAAGAACCUUACCUACUCUUGACAUCCAGAGAAGCCGAAAGAGAUUUUGGUGUGCCUUCGGGAACUCUGAGACAGGUGCUGCAUGGCUGUCGUCAGCUCGUGCCG